Long non-coding RNA from Cyprinus carpio (common carp), 281 nucleotides. RefSeq lists it as uncharacterized. The transcript has 3 exons. The record is from RefSeq and is a predicted model, not a curated record. Lineage: Eukaryota; Metazoa; Chordata; Actinopteri; Cypriniformes; Cyprinidae.
UCUUUCCACCCGUAAACCAUCUCUCAUACGGGCAACCCUCAUGUGCAAACAAACGAAUGACGCCUCUCUUUCAGUUCCGCUGCCGUUGGAUAACACAUUUUUAUGUUGCAAACAUGUGCUGUACGUACGUCUUCGCCAGUGUCUUCAAGGGCUAUUUGAUAGUUCAACGGACCCAGCUGCUUGAUAAUGCGAUGAUGAAGAUUAUGAACUACAUCAUACGAGGCAGCGUCUGGGGUUAGAUUAGGCCCAGAGAGUAUUUUGUCCAUUGGACUUUGGAGUUU